AUUGAACGCUGGCGGCAUGCCUUACACAUGCAAGUCGAACGGUAGAGGGGGGCAACCCCUUCGAGAGUGGCGAACGGGUGAGUAAUGCAUCGGAACGUGCCCAGUCGUGGGGGAUAGCCCGGGGAAACCCGGAUUAAUACCGCAUACGACCUGAGGGUGAAAGCGGGGGACUCGCAAGGUCCUCGCGCGAUUGGAGCGGCCGAGGGCGGAUUAGGUAGUUGGUGGGGUAAAGGCCUACCAAGCCUGCGAUCCGUAGCUGGUCUGAGAGGACGACCAGCCACACUGGGACUGAGACACGGCCCAGACUCCUACGGGAGGCAGCAGUGGGGAAUUUUGGACAAUGGGGGCAACCCUGAUCCAGCCAUGCCGCGUGCGGGAAGAAGGCCUUCGGGUUGUAAACCGCUCUUGUCAGGGAAGAAAUGUCCUGGGCUAAUACCCUGGGGGGAUGACGGUACCUGAAGAAUAAGCACCGGCUAACUACGUGCCAGCAGCCGCCGCAG
Molecule: ribosomal RNA, 500 nt
Filed under: uncultured bacterium
Lineage: Bacteria
Description: partial 16S ribosomal RNA
Rfam family: Bacterial small subunit ribosomal RNA
Source: RNAcentral